Molecule: ribosomal RNA, 500 nt
Filed under: Achromobacter spanius
Lineage: Bacteria; Pseudomonadati; Pseudomonadota; Betaproteobacteria; Burkholderiales; Alcaligenaceae
Description: bacterial SSU rRNA
Rfam family: Bacterial small subunit ribosomal RNA
Source: RNAcentral
UUGUAAGCACUUUUGGCAGGAAAGAAACGUCAUGGGCUAAUACCCCGUGAAACUGACGGUACCUGCAGAAUAAGCACCGGCUAACUACGUGCCAGCAGCCGCGGUAAUACGUAGGGUGCAAGCGUUAAUCGGAAUUACUGGGCGUAAAGCGUGCGCAGGCGGUUCGGAAAGAAAGAUGUGAAAUCCCAGAGCUUAACUUUGGAACUGCAUUUUUAACUACCGAGCUAGAGUGUGUCAGAGGGAGGUGGAAUUCCGCGUGUAGCAGUGAAAUGCGUAGAUAUGCGGAGGAACACCGAUGGCGAAGGCAGCCUCCUGGGAUAACACUGACGCUCAUGCACGAAAGCGUGGGGAGCAAACAGGAUUAGAUACCCUGGUAGUCCACGCCCUAAACGAUGUCAACUAGCUGUUGGGGCCUUCGGGCCUUAGUAGCGCAGCUAACGCGUGAAGUUGACCGCCUGGGGAGUACGGUCGCAAGAUUAAAACUCAUAGGAAAUUGACAG